UACGAAGGGGGCUAGCGUUGCUCGGAGUUACUGGGCGUAAAGGGCGUGCAGGUGGUCUGUUAAGUCUGGCGUGAAAGCUCCUGGCUAAACCGGGAGAGGUCGUUGGAUACUGGCGGACUAGAGGACGGUAGAGGCGUGUGGAAUUCCGGGUGUAGUGGUGAAAUGCGUAGAGAUCCGGAGGAACACCAGUGGCGAAGGCGACACGCUGGGCCGUACCUGACACUGAUACGCGACAGCAUGGGGAGCGAACGGG
Molecule: ribosomal RNA, 253 nt
Filed under: uncultured bacterium
Lineage: Bacteria
Description: partial 16S ribosomal RNA
Rfam family: Bacterial small subunit ribosomal RNA
Source: RNAcentral